CAGAGAACUACAGUCUCAACAGCUGUCAGUGUGGCACUGUUCAUACUGUCCCAGUACAAGCUUCACUGCUACUGCCUACGCAAUAUGUUUCAACUUUGACCUGGAGGAAUCCCCUCUAGGGGAAAGCAGGGAGUUGACUCUUCAUGGCCUAUUCAGUCCUUGGCCUCA
Molecule: small RNA, 168 nt
Filed under: Gopherus agassizii (Agassiz's desert tortoise)
Lineage: Eukaryota; Metazoa; Chordata; Testudines; Testudinidae
Description: TUC338 (ENSGAGG00000024350.1)
Source: RNAcentral